AAUGCAUGAUGCUAGAAUUUUCUAAGAUGUUACUUAAAUCUUUCCCAAGUCUCAUAAUUGGAUUAUCCUCUAAAGAGAGUAAAAUAAGAUAUGUCAUUUCUAAGUUU
This is a small nucleolar RNA of Dendrobium catenatum, 107 nucleotides long. NCBI's taxonomy places the organism in Eukaryota, Viridiplantae, Streptophyta, Magnoliopsida, Asparagales, Orchidaceae. The record is from RefSeq and is a predicted model, not a curated record.